RNAcentral lists this long non-coding RNA (226 nucleotides) under Hordeum vulgare. Its description in RNAcentral is "long non-coding RNA (HVUL_LNC018975)". Lineage: Eukaryota; Viridiplantae; Streptophyta; Magnoliopsida; Poales; Poaceae. The record is from RNAcentral.
GAACCUGGGUAAACUCGCGUCUCUCGAUUCCGACCAACCCAUCUCAAGCCGCCACAUAGGUGUGAUGGCCUCACACCUAAGUUCUCUUACGAGGACAUCUGACGUGACAAAACAUGACAGUUGGCGCCCACCAUGGGUUGAGAAGUUUGCGAUUGAUCGGAUGAAGGAGAGCCAACACGAAAGAAUUCAUGCAGAUACAAGAUUGAGAUGGAGAGAAAAUUUAAGG